This 4426-nucleotide long non-coding RNA is filed under the name Canis lupus familiaris (dog). RNAcentral's name for it is "lncRNA (ENSCAFG00000057494.1)". The record is from RNAcentral. Lineage: Eukaryota; Metazoa; Chordata; Mammalia; Carnivora; Canidae.
ACAUACAGGCAGAGGGAGAAGCAUGCUCCCUGCAAGGAGCCUGACGUGGAACUAGAUCCCAGAUCCUGGGAUCAUGCCCUGAGCCGAAGGCAGACAUGCAACCGCUGAGCCACUCAGGCAUCCCAAAGCAUUCUAAAAUUCUGUGGAACCAGGCUCAUUUGUUCAUCCAAAUCAGUUACCACUCUAAUUAAAAUUGUUUUGCUCUUCAUGUAUCUUAGUCAUCAGUUAAUUAAAUGACCAUAGCCUCACAGGAGGGGGUAUCAUGUGACCACUGAAAUUUUGUUAAUAAAAACUUAAUAGCCUGAAAAAUAUUUACCAUACAGUCUUUUAAAAACAUGGAAAUAAAAUUGUAAAUAGGGUGAUUUCAAACUAUGGAAAACAGUGUAAACAUCAACUGUUUCAAAAUUAGAAGGAAAUACACUGACGUUGCAAUGGUAGGUUUCUCUGGGUCGCAGUUGUCUGAUUUUUAAAAAAUUAAUUUCUUCAUAGGCUUCUGUGUUCGGCAAUUUGUGUAAAAUGAGUAUAUAUGUUUAUAAUUACACACAUAGAAAAUAUAUAUUGCUAAGAACCAACCUAAAAAAUACCAAGGUGAGUAUCACAACUUGUCCUUGGUAAAAUUAGUUUUGCUUACAGUAGGGAAGGCAGUCCAGUCACAGACUGGGACACUCUCAUUGGAAAUAAUUGAAUCUUAUUAUCAAGAGUGCUUCAUGAAACGCUUACGAUUUACCUUGAUCAACCGUUCAAAUAGGUUUCUACUUCAAGAAUUACCUUAAAGUCUUACAUAAUGCAGGACUUGGUUGACCUUUUAUAUAGGAUUAAAGCACCGUAUAAUUAACUUCUUUAUAUACAGAGUUGAAACUUAAUGAAAACAUGAGGUGAAAAGCCAAGACUUAAUUUGCAGAGUGACUCCUUUCCUAUUUCACAUCAUGAACAGCUAAGUCUUAGUUUGGGGCUCUCUUUCUCUCAGGCACUUUGAUUCUGACCAGGCCAACACUUGCUAAAUGCAUCCAGGUACCUCAUUCAGAAAGAGCACAGAAAGAAGUAGGAAUGGUAGAGCCCAAGGAGAAAGGGUAAGUAUGAGCUCUGAGGCAUAGCAAGCUCCUUACCGCUCUGACUCAAGAAUCAGACCAACCUAAACUCACAUCUUAGUUCUAAACUUAACCAGAGUGUAUUGUAGGAAAAGUACUCAGUCAUUAAGCCCCAGUGACCUUGGGACACCUGGGUGGCUCAGUGGUUGCGAGUCUGCCUUUUGCUCAGGUAAAGAUCUCUGGGGUCCUGGGAUUGAGUCCUGCAUUAGGCUCCCCGCAGGGAGCCUGCUUCUCCCUCUGACUAUGUCUUUCUCUCUCUUUAUCUCUCUCUCUUGCUCUGUGUCUCUCAUAAAUAAAUCUUAAAAAAAAAAAAAAAAAAAAAAAACAACCCAGUGACCUUAACUUUAAAAUGGGAAUAAAAAUAACUGUAUCUCACAGAGUUUUCUGGAAGAUUGAAUGAAGACAGUAUGCAUAAAUCUUAAAUGACAUAUUUUAAAGAAGACAGUAAAUAUUUACUGUUAAUGCACUGAGGACUCUUUGUGCAUGGUCCCUUUUUAUGCUUCCAGCUUUAGAUCACACUAUUAUCCCUCCCAUCUCCCUCUCAGUCCAAGUCACAUUGAAAUAAUUGGCAUUUCUUGAACAUCUUACUAUUUUUUGCUUACAGCCAAAGCUAUUGUUUUUCUCCAAAAUCCAAUCUCUUCUGCUUCCAUAGUAAUAGAAUUUUCACUUGACACAGGGCUUCAAGGAACAUAUACUACAAAUCCCAGCCUCCUUUGCAGCUAAAUGCCACCAGGUUUUGGGAAAUGAGAUGUAAGAGAGUGAUAGGGUGAUUUCUCAGAAUAUUCUUUACAAGAGAGUUAGAGUGUGCCCUUUGUACACUAUUUCUUUCUUUUUAAAAAAAUCCUGCUGUCUAAAUACAGAUGCCAAUUUGGACCAAGAGAAUGAGGGUCAUGCCCAGAGAUAGUAGAGAAGCGAGUUAGAAAAAAAGCCUGGAUACCUAAGGACUCUGACAAUUCUGAAACUAUAUUUAAUAUAAACAUCUCUCUAGCUUAAACCACUAUUAUUUGAAGUCUUCCUGCACAUAUAGACAAAUCUAAUCCUACAAAUAGUACCAAACUCUUUAUAUAUGCUAAUGGUAUGUAUAUCCUAUUUCCUUAACCCAUUUUUUUUUUCAUAGAUUUCUACUACUUUCCACGGAGAUGUAGCCCAGAUAGUUCCUCCUCCAGGAUUCCUUCUUAAAUCCUAUAGGCUAGAUAUCAUCUCUAUUAUAGCAAUUAUCACUUUGUGUAUUUUGGUGAUUACUUUUCUUGUUUGUUUCCCUGUUUACACUGUAAGGUCCUUGGGAGCUAGGAGUUUUAUUUCUUCCUUAAUUACACAUGCUCUGUAGAGAGGCCAACCCAGGUAGGCACAUGAAAACUGUUGAAUGGAUGAAAAGUGGAUGAGUGAAUGAUUGGAAUAAUUGGAAGGAAAGAAAAGGAAAAUAAAGGAAAAAGAAUCUAUGAGAAUUUCUCUGUUACUAGUCAGCCAGCAUCCUCAUAUCACUCGAUAUUUUUCCUCAUCUGCUCAUCCCCUCCCCCAGCAGUAGAAAGGAGCUGCUUCAACACUGAGUAACAAUUGCCUUCAGAGUUCCUUAGUCACAUCAGAAUGCCCUCCUCCAAGGUUCACCGUAAAUUCCUAUUGAUUUUUCUAAACAGAAAUCUCAUUCACUGAUGUGACUGCAAAGGAAAGUAGGAAGAACAGUGUGAAAUCCAUUCCCUACCUAAAUCUUCAUUACCUUCUGCUGUUCUUGUUCCAAGAUGAUUCAAUUACAUAUUAUGUUCUCAAGUUCUUUUUUUUUAACCUUAGGGCUGCUUAUGAAAAAUUAAACUAGUUACAUAAAAGAGAUUAUAUUGCUGUUCUUCCACAUCUAAGGAAAAAAAAUGAAUCAUCAGAAACUAGAAUAGACCAAUACAAGUUAUUUUGAUUUAAAUUUCAGAUUAGUUCACUGGUGGGGUUUAUGUGCUAGUAUAUUGCUACUACAAAUUUUCCUGAAAUAUCAAUACAAAAUGUGAUUAGAUCUUUUUUCAAGGUCUUAUUUCCUCCAAUCUACAGAAUAUAAAUUGCUUUCUAAAGACUCUCUUUACCUUACCAAAUAAUCCAUAUUGCUUAAAUUUUUGUAUGUGGUAAACAUAGCCCUGGCAGUAUUAUCACAACUCAGACAUGUUUAAAUUCAGAUUCAAUUGGCUCCAAUUAUAGUGACUUCAGCCAAUCGAAAAAGGAUUUUAAUAUGAAACAUAUAUUUUCAAUGGUUCAGAGGAUUUUAGAUUUUAAACUCUGCUUUCUCAGUUAGCUUCUUUAAGUGAUAUGAGAGUAGGUAAGGGGAAGAGAAGCUCACUUUGAUUAUAACAUAAUUCAAACUAAACUUUUGGUAACAAUGAUUUACAAAGCCCCCAAGCAGUUUGAACUAUUAGUAUUAACUCUUCAUAGGUCAGGUCUCAAUCUAUUUGUACAGUUUUAUAUUUUGGGGACUUCCUAAAGUCAUUCAGGUCAACCUACCAAUUUUUUUUUUUUUUUGAGUACUUGUCAGAUGCCAGUCACUGGCAGAUAGUUGGGGCAGCUGCCUCAGGCAAACACAGUGCAGUUCAGUGGACACUUAGAGUAGUUUGUCAACUUACUAAGAGAAAAAAAAAAAACAGAGUUCAAUGAGCAAUAUGGAAACAGCAACUAGCUCAGUCUUGGCUGAACAAAAGCAUCCUUUACAGAAGAUCUGACGUCUAUGUUGAAGUUAUAAAGACACAGUGUGAUUAGUCAAGGAAAAUGGUGAAGGGGAAAAGUGUCACAUAUAGGAGAAGAGUUCAGCAGAGGAGCGAUGAGGUAAAAGAGGCAAGGGCUGGCUAAGUUACCUACCAUCUCUUCCAUUUCAUAAAUUUGAAUCUGGAUCAGUUUAGCACAGGCCUCCUGCUGACUGAGGAGCAAGAAUCAUUUUUCAUCCCAUCCUGAGAAAGAUGUAGAGUGGGGAGGCACAGAGACUCUGGAGGCAGGCCACCGGGGUUUGAAUCACAGCUGUCAUACUUCAGCAUUUAUUCACCUGUUCCUUAUUUACUCAGGAAUCAUCUAUUGAGUGUUCACUAUGCUUCAAGGAUUGUUCAAGUACAUGGAAUACAACAGUGAACACAACCGACAAAACUCCUGCCCUUGUGGAGGGUAUUUUCUAGUAGGGGCAGAUCAGCAAUAUUGAUGAGCAGAGAAGGUAUUUGGUACUUGAGAUCAGGAUAUAACUGCGAGUGCAGUGGAGGGGCUAAGGUUAUAAUCUUGAGUAAAAUGGUUAGGGUGGGCUUCCAUGAGGAGGUGACAUUGGAGAAAAGACUAGAAGGAGAUAACGGGAUUAAUCACGCAAAGGCUUGAAGCUAAAACUCUGC